Molecule: non-coding RNA, 705 nt
Organism: Manis javanica (Malayan pangolin)
Lineage: Eukaryota; Metazoa; Chordata; Mammalia; Pholidota; Manidae
Source: RefSeq, a predicted model, not a curated record
GGGGGUAACUGGUUCUGACAGAAGGAGCCUUUCCAGGAAGCCUGGAAGAUGCAGAGGGUGCAUGUGCCCUGGUGGGCUCACACCUGGGGGGGAGGCAGUGUGUGUGUGCAUGUGCCCUUAACGAAGGCCAGUAGCACAGGCUGAUGGACAUUCCCGCUCAUGUUCCUGACAGGCUGACUCCCCUUUGCUGGUGGCCCUCAGCCAUGGCUGCACCCUGAACUCGCCUGGGCGGCUUGAAAACCACACCGGUCCAGGCCCCACGUCAGACCGGAGCAUUAGAACCUCCUGGAGAAGUCUGGACACAGGCAUUUCAAAUAUGCUUUAGGCACACUUCAACCCAGAUAUUGAAGGCUCCCUUUGGCUGCUAUGAACUGGAAGAAUCAAGGCUGGAGUCAGGGAGCCCAUCGAGGAGGCUGCUGCAACACUGACGCAAGAACAACAAUGACAUGUUUCUUUCCAGCACGCCCCUCAGCUUCCCAUCACAGGGUGGAUGGCAGCUGGAAGCAGGCACACAGCAGCCAGCAAAGAAGGCAGCAGAGCCACGUAAAGCAGGGCAAAGAGAUGGUCAGUGAAGGGACAGAGUCCAAGACACGUUGGUAGCCUUCGCUGUGGGCUAGCCCCGUGUCCAUCCUGGUGAUUGCAAGUCUCCAAAACUCCCCCCACCCCAACCCUUGUCCAGCAUACUGUUUAAGAAAUGUGAAAACU